RNAcentral lists this ribosomal RNA (954 nucleotides) under uncultured bacterium. RNAcentral describes it as "bacterial SSU rRNA". It matches the Rfam family "Bacterial small subunit ribosomal RNA", at positions 68 to 1020 of the family's 1533-position model. The record is from RNAcentral.
GGCAGCACGGGGCAACCUGGUGGCGAGUGGCGAACGGGUGAGUAAUAUAUCGGAACAUACCCUAGAGUGGGGGAUAACGUAGCGAAAGUUACGCUGAUACCGCAUACGAACUAAGGUUGAAAGUGGGGGAUCUACGGACCUCAUGCUCAUGGAGUGGCCGAUAUCUGAUUAGCUAGUUGGUGAGGUAAAGGCUCACCAAGGCGACGAUCAGUAGCUGGUUUGAGAGAACGACCAGCCACACUGGAACUGAGACACGGUCCAGACUCCUACGGGAGGCAGCAGUGGGGAAUUUUGGACAAUGGGCGCAAGCCAGAUCCAGCAAUGCCGCGUGAGUGAAGAAGGCCUUCGGGUUGUAAAGCUCCUUUGUCAGGGAAGAAACGGUGAGUCCUAAUACGGCUUGCUAAUGACGAUACCUGAAGAAUAAGCACCGGCUAACUACGUGCCAGCAGCCGCGGUAAUACGUAGGGUGCAAGCGUUAAUCGGAAUUACUGGGCGUAAAGCGUGCGCAGGCGGUUAUAUAAGUCAGAUGUGAAAUCCCCGGGCUCAACCUGGGAACUGCAUUUGAGACUGUAUGGCUAGAGUGUGUCAGAGGGGGGUAGAAUUCCACGUGUAGCAGUGAAAUGCGUAGAUAUGUGGAGGAAUACCGAUGGCGAAGGCAGCCCCCUGGGAUAACACUGACGCUCAUGCACGAAAGCGUGGGGAGCAAACAGGAUUAGAUACCCUGNNAGUCCACGCCCUAAACGAUGUCUACUAGUUGUCGGGACUUAAUUGUCUUGNUAACGCAGCUAACGCGUGAAGUAGACCGCCUGGGGAGUACGGUCGCAAGAUUNAAACUCAAAGGAAUUGACGGGGACCCGCACAAGCGGUGGAUGAUGUGGAUUAAUUCNAUGCAACGCGAAAACNUUACCUACCCUUGACAUNGNUUGGNAUCCCGAAGANAUUUGGGANUGCUCG